GCCAGGUGGGCGCCUUGGCGCACACCUGUAAUCCCAGCAGCUUGGGAGGCUGAGACAGGAGGAUCGCAAGUUCAAAGCCAGCCUCUGGUCACUAAGCAACUCAGUGAGACCCUGUUUCUA
This 120-nucleotide small RNA is filed under the name Marmota monax (woodchuck). The record is from RNAcentral. Lineage: Eukaryota; Metazoa; Chordata; Mammalia; Rodentia; Sciuridae.